Molecule: ribosomal RNA, 1000 nt
Filed under: uncultured organism
Description: bacterial SSU rRNA
Rfam family: Bacterial small subunit ribosomal RNA
Source: RNAcentral
GGGGGAUAUUGCGCAAUGGGGGCAACCCUGACGCAGCAACGCCGCGUGAAGGAUGAAGGUUUUCGGAUUGUAAACUUCUUUUAUUAAGGACGAAACUUGACGGUACUUAAUGAAUAAGCUCCGGCUAACUACGUGCCAGCAGCCGCGGUAAUACGUAGGGAGCAAGCGUUGUCCGGAUUUACUGGGUGUAAAGGGUGCGUAGGCGGCUUUGCAAGUCAGAUGUGAAAUCUAUGGGCUCAACCCAUAAACUGCAUUUGAAACUGUAGAGCUUGAGUGAAGUAGAGGCAGGCGGAAUUCCCCGUGUAGCGGUGAAAUGCGUAGAGAUGGGGAGGAACACCAGUGGCGAAGGCGGCCUGCUGGGCUUUAACUGACGCUGAGGCACGAAAGCGUGGGUAGCAAACAGGAUUAGAUACCCUGGUAGUCCACGCUGUAAACGAUGAUUACUAGGUGUGGGGGGUCUGACCCCUUCCGUGCCGGAGUUAACACAAUAAGUAAUCCACCUGGGGAGUACGGCCGCAAGGUUGAAACUCAAAGGAAUUGACGGGGGCCCGCACAAGCAGUGGAGUAUGUGGUUUAAUUCGAAGCAACGCGAAGAACCUUACCAGGUCUUGACAUUCAACUAACGAAGUAGAGAUACAUUAGGUGCCCUUCGGGGAAAGUUGAGACAGGUGGUGCAUGGUUGUCGUCAGCUCGUGUCGUGAGAUGUUGGGUUAAGUCCCGCAACGAGCGCAACCCUUGCUAUUAAUUGCUACGCAAGAGCACUCUAAUAGGACUGCCGUUGACAAAACGGAGGAAGGUGGGGACGACGUCAAAUCAUCAUGCCCCUUAUGACCUGAGCUACACACGUACUACAAUGGAUGUUAACAGAGGGAAGCAAGACAGCGAUGUGGAGCAAACCCCUAAAAACAUUCUCAGUUCAGAUUGCAGGCUGCAACCCGCCUGCAUGAAGAUGGAAUUGCUAGUAAUCGCGGAUCAGCAUGCCGCGGUGAAUACGUUCCCG